This is a non-coding RNA of Oryza glaberrima (African rice), 201 nucleotides long. The record is from Rfam. Lineage: Eukaryota; Viridiplantae; Streptophyta; Magnoliopsida; Poales; Poaceae.
CGUAAGUACAAUCAUUAGUUUCCACACCUAACUUUAAUCGUUUGUCUUAUUUGAAAAUUUUUCGUAAUUAGUAUUUUUAUUGUUAUGAGAUAAUAAAAUAUGAAUAGUACUUUAUACGUGACUUAUAUUUUUAAUUUUUUUUAAAAAAAUUAAAUAAGAUAAACGGUUAAAAUCAGGCAUGAGUUUAUGGAUGUGAAUAAU